Molecule: ribosomal RNA, 497 nt
Filed under: uncultured bacterium
Lineage: Bacteria
Description: partial 16S ribosomal RNA
Rfam family: Bacterial small subunit ribosomal RNA
Source: RNAcentral
GAUGAACGCUGGCGGCGUGCCUAAUACAUGCAAGUCGAGCGAACAGACGAGGAGCUUGCUCCUCUGACGUUAGCGGCGGACGGGUAAGUAACACGUGGAUAACCUACCUAUAAGACUGGGAUAACUUCGGGAAACCGGAGCUAAUACCGGAUAAUAUAUUGAACCGCAUGGUUCAAUAGUGAAAGACGGUUUUGCUGUCACUUAUAGAUGGAUCCGCGCCGCAUUAGCUAGUUGGUAAGGUAACGGCUUACCAAGGCGACGAUGCGUAGCCGACCUGAGAGGGUGAUCGGCCACACUGGAACUGAGACACGGUCCAGACUCCUACGGGAGGCAGCAGUAGGGAAUCUUCCGCAAUGGGCGAAAGCCUGACGGAGCAACGCCGCGUGAGUGAUGAAGGUCUUCGGAUCGUAAAACUCUGUUAUUAGGGAAGAACAAAUGUGUAAGUAACUAUGCACGUCUUGACGGUACCUAAUCAGAAAGCCACGGCUAACUACGUG